This 87-nucleotide transfer RNA is filed under the name Candidatus Roizmanbacteria bacterium CG06_land_8_20_14_3_00_34_14. RNAcentral describes it as "tRNA-Leu". It matches the Rfam family "tRNA". Rfam says of the family: Transfer RNA (tRNA) molecules are approximately 80 nucleotides in length. Their secondary structure includes four short double-helical elements and three loops (D, anti-codon, and T loops). RNAcentral also lists the same sequence under 1 other name. Lineage: Bacteria; Candidatus Roizmaniibacteriota. The record is from RNAcentral.
GCCGGGGUGGUGAAAUGGCAAACACGCAGGUUUCAAAAACCUGUGACCUUAACGGUUUUGAGGGUUCAACUCCCUCCCCUGGCACAA